Molecule: ribosomal RNA, 484 nt
Filed under: uncultured bacterium
Lineage: Bacteria
Description: partial 16S ribosomal RNA
Rfam family: Bacterial small subunit ribosomal RNA
Source: RNAcentral
AUUGAACGCUGGCGGCAGGCCUAACACAUGCAAGUCGAGCGGAUGAAGGGAGCUUGCUCCUGGAUUCAGCGGCGGACGGGUGAGUAAUGCCUAGGAAUCUGCCUGGUAGUGGGGGAUAACAUCCGGAAACGGGCGCUAAUACCGCAUACGUCCUGAGGGAGAAAGUGGGGGAUCUUCGGACCUCACGCUAUCAGAUGAGCCUAGGUCGGAUUAGCUAGUUGGUGGGGUAAAGGCCUACCAAGGCGACGAUCCGUAACUGGUCUGAGAGGAUGAUCAGUCACACUGGAACUGGGACACGGUCCAGACUCCUACGGGAGGCAGCAGUGGGGAAUAUUGGACGAUGGGCGAAAGCCUGCUCCAGCCAUGCCGCGUGGGUGAAGAAGGUCUUCGGAUUGUAAAGCACUUUAAGUUGGGAGGAAGGGCAGUACGUUAAUACCUUGCUGUUUUGACGUUACCAACAGAAUAAGCACCGGCUAACUUCGUG